AUUUUACCUCGAACCGUGCUCGAAUGGAGCGUGGUAGUACACUAGCUAGUAGGCCGACAACGCUUAACGGUAAAGACACAUGUCGAAAGCUGUGGAACUCAUCAGGAUUUGAUUACUGCUGUGAUCUGAUGGACAGCAACAACAUCAGACGUGUGGACAUAUUGGAUACAGCCUGCCCACCGUGUAGCAUUGACAGCCACAGUGGCAAGCAUGUUCCAGCAAAGUAGCGGUGCCACUGUAUGCAAAUACCAUCAUCAUUGAACAACCAGCCAAUCUUGUGACUCUAGGGCAACAUUGUUUUGAGCUUGUAAGCCAGGGACUUCAUUCAAAAAAGUUGUUUGGUAACAUUGCUUCCCAACAUCUGAGUGUGAUCUGUAACCCCACAAGUGCAUACUACAGGCUCAUACUGUUUAACACCAUUCGACGUUUCACAACAUGAGUGGAUAGUUUGGUUAGUACAACCCUGCUUCAUUGUUCUACGAGUCAUUGGUAUCUCUACAUAGCUCUAGCAUAAUCCUUGAAUAUUAAUCCUGCUGUAAUCUUAGUAUAUUUUUAAAACAAUUUUACAGGGUCUUGCAAAGGCAUGCUCAAGCACACAUGCCAUUCAUACUCCCAGCCCAAAUAUUUUAUCAGCAUUCGAGAUUUGGACAUAUUUAUCAACAAAAG
Molecule: unclassified non-coding RNA, 666 nt
Filed under: Acanthaster planci (crown-of-thorns starfish)
Lineage: Eukaryota; Metazoa; Echinodermata; Asteroidea; Valvatida; Acanthasteridae
Description: uncharacterized LOC110978589, transcript variant X2
Source: RNAcentral